AGGCGGAUAGCUCAAUGUUAGAGCGCCUCCAUCACACGGAGGAGGGUGCAGUGUUCAAAUCCUGCUCCGCCUACCA
Molecule: transfer RNA, 76 nt
Filed under: Candidatus Solibacter sp.
Lineage: Bacteria; Pseudomonadati; Acidobacteriota; Terriglobia; Bryobacterales; Solibacteraceae
Description: tRNA-Val
Rfam family: tRNA
About the family: Transfer RNA (tRNA) molecules are approximately 80 nucleotides in length. Their secondary structure includes four short double-helical elements and three loops (D, anti-codon, and T loops).
Source: RNAcentral